GAAUCCGCUAAGGAGUGUGUAACAACUCACCUGCCGAAUGAAGUAGCCCUGAAAAUGGAUGACGCUUAAGCGGGUAGCCGAUACUACGCCGUCUAAAAAACUGAUUUUUAGAUGAGUAGGGGGGCGUGGUGAUCGUAUCGAAGCACUGCGUGCGAACGUGUGUGGAACGGUCACUAGUGCAGAUCUUGGUGGUAGUAGCAAAUAUUCAAGUGAGAACCUUGAAGGGCGAAGCGGGGAAGGGUUCCAUGCGAACAUUGAUUGGGCAUGGGUGAGUCGUACCUAAGCCGAGUGGCAAUUGCUUACUCACGCGGCGAAAGGGAAGCGGGUUGAAAUUCCCGCACACGGAUGUGGAAGCGGCGACGCAUUACUGGGGCGGUGACGUUGGCAGUGGCGCUGGGCAGAGUUGUCUUUUCUGUUUAACCGCCUGACGCUUGCACUGUGGAAUCCGCUUGUCGGGAGAAACAGGCAAGGCACGGGUAGAGCGCCGGGCUUUUUCCGGCGUCCAGCUCGCCACUGACGGCCCUUGAAAAACUGUCCUCAGAUAUUAAACUCCACGCCGUGGCGUACCGAUAACCGCAUCAGGUCCCCAAGGUGAACAGCCUCUGCUCGAUAUGAAAAAUGCAGGUAAGGGAAGUCGGCA
Molecule: ribosomal RNA, 640 nt
Filed under: Gracilaria parvispora
Lineage: Eukaryota; Rhodophyta; Florideophyceae; Gracilariales; Gracilariaceae
Description: eukaryotic LSU rRNA
Rfam family: Eukaryotic large subunit ribosomal RNA
Source: RNAcentral